GGAGCGAACACCCGCUGGCCCAACUGUACUGUCACUCGACCCUGGAGCACCACCACUUUGACCAGUGCCUGAUGGUCCUCAAUAGCCCGGGGAACCAGAUCCUCAGUGGCCUCUCCAUCGAAGAGUAUAAGACCGCGUUGAAGAUCAUCAAGCAGGCGAUUCUGGCCACAGACCUGGCCCUGUACAUUAAGAGGCGAGGGGAGUUUUUUGAACUUAUAAGGAAAAACCAGUUCAACUUAGGAGACCCGCACCAGAAGGAGCUGUUUCUG
Myotis lucifugus (little brown bat) is the source of this 269-nucleotide long non-coding RNA. RefSeq lists it as uncharacterized. Lineage: Eukaryota; Metazoa; Chordata; Mammalia; Chiroptera; Vespertilionidae. The record is from RefSeq and is a predicted model, not a curated record. The transcript is spliced from 3 exons.